RNAcentral lists this ribosomal RNA (588 nucleotides) under Pseudozyma hubeiensis. RNAcentral describes it as "eukaryotic LSU rRNA". It matches the Rfam family "Eukaryotic large subunit ribosomal RNA", at positions 71 to 638 of the family's 3401-position model. The record is from RNAcentral. Lineage: Eukaryota; Fungi; Basidiomycota; Ustilaginomycetes; Ustilaginales; Ustilaginaceae.
AGGAUAUCCCCUAGUUAACGGCGAGUGAAGAGGGAAGAGCCCAAGAUUGAAAGCUGGCGCCUUCGGCGUCCGCAUUGUAAUCUCAAGAAGUGUUUUCCGCUUCGGACCAUGCCUAAGUCCCUUGGAAAAGGGCAUCAUAGAGGGUGAUAAUCCCGUACAUGGCAUGGAGCGCCCGAAGCUUUGUGAUACGCUUUCUAAGAGUCGAGUUGUUUGGGAAUGCAGCUCAAAAUGGGUGGUAAAUGCCAUCUAAGGCUAAAUAUUGGGGAGAGACCGAUAGCGAACAAGUACAGUGAUGGAAAGAUGAAAAGAACUUUGAAAAGAGAGUUAAACAGUACGUGAAAUUGCCAAAAGGGAAGGGUAGGAGGUCAGAGAUGCGUCGCAGGAUUCAGCCUUGCUUUUGCUUGGUGUUUUUCCUGCGUUGCAGGCCAACGUCGGUUUUGGGCACUGGAGUAGGUUAGGAGGAACGUGGCACCUCUCGGGGUGUGUUAUAGCCUCCUACUGGAUACAGCGACCGAGACCGAGGAACGCAGCGUACUCGUAAGAGCGGGCCUUUUGGCACCUUUACGCUUAGGGCGUUGGCAUAAUGGC